This 235-nucleotide long non-coding RNA is filed under the name Fragaria vesca (wild strawberry). RNAcentral's name for it is "long non-coding RNA (FVES_LNC003171)". The record is from RNAcentral. Lineage: Eukaryota; Viridiplantae; Streptophyta; Magnoliopsida; Rosales; Rosaceae.
UCCAGUGUUAGCAUACUCAGCAUAGAACAAUGUGUCUAGGGCAAAAGUCCCACUCCACUCGUACCACCCAGCAGGGUCGAUGAUAUCAGUAAUGGAAGAUUGCAUAAUCACAGUCCUAGAGUACUCCUUCCACGGCCUUCCCAGGUAUGUCUUAAAGCUACCCUUCACGGCUUGAAGGUCAGAAGUGGCACCAAUCCUUGAUUUUUGGAUCACAAUGCCGGUGUUCUGGUUGGGG